GUAGCUUUUGGCUGAAUUUCUACUCAUCUCACCACUAUAACUUCUUUAACGUUGCGACUUUCCCUAUUUUCAGAUCGCCACCCAUCUCUUACAAAUCUGAAAUAGUCAACAGACUCUGGUCCAGUGUUAACCAACAACUUUGGUGCUUCUUCAUUUGAACUCAUAUUGGCUAUUGAAAGGUUAAAAUCAACUGUUGAUAUAUCUGUUUGAUUAGUGGUUUGACAAUUUGGAUUGAUCACGUUUGCUACGUGCGGCGAUGAUGGGUGACUCAUCGUCGGUGACGGUGGCUGGACGGCGUUCGCUAACGAAAAGCCUGGAAGCGGAAGUCGCGAAUGGGUGCUCCACACAAGUCUAGAAGCAGUGACGGAGGCGUUUCGAGAAGGAACGCGUGGCUGUUUAAAUGGGAACCACCGUCGGGAACAGACAGUGUGGUCCAGACAAUGGAAGAAGUAAAAUCUAGUCAAAUUCAUUCCAGUCGGAUUUAUUUUGUACAUAAUCGCUCUGUAAUUAGUCGUGUAAAUUUGAAUUACUCAGAAAUAAAUUGUUGAGUUUUA
Zophobas morio is the source of this 554-nucleotide long non-coding RNA. RefSeq lists it as uncharacterized. The transcript is spliced from 2 exons. The record is from RefSeq and is a predicted model, not a curated record. NCBI's taxonomy places the organism in Eukaryota, Metazoa, Arthropoda, Insecta, Coleoptera, Tenebrionidae.